GGGGCUGAUUCUGGAUUCGACUGGAUUUGCGAAACCCAAGGUGCAUGCCGAGGGGCGGUUGGCCUCGUAAAAAGCCGCAAAAAAUAGUCGCAAACGACGAAAACUACGCUUUAGCAGCUUAAUAACCUGCUUAGAGCCCUCUCUCCCUAGCCUCCGCUCUUAGGACGGGGAUCAAGAGAGGUCAAACCCAAAAGAGAUCGCGUGGAAGCCCUGCCUGGGGUUGAAGCGUUAAAACUUAAUCAGGCUAGUUUGUUAGUGGCGUGUCCGUCCGCAGCUGGCAAGCGAAUGUAAAGACUGACUAAGCAUGUAGUACCGAGGAUGUAGGAAUUUCGGACGCGGGUUCAACUCCCGCCAGCUCCACCA
Molecule: transfer-messenger RNA, 363 nt
Filed under: Microbacteriaceae
Lineage: Bacteria; Bacillati; Actinomycetota; Actinomycetes; Micrococcales
Also listed under: 1 other name
Description: Leucobacter sp002752355 Standard tmRNA
Rfam family: transfer-messenger RNA
About the family: Bacterial tmRNA, also known as 10Sa RNA or SsrA, is named for its dual tRNA and mRNA-like properties. Its role is to liberate the mRNA from a stalled ribosome.
Source: RNAcentral